This 520-nucleotide ribosomal RNA is filed under the name uncultured Glomus. RNAcentral describes it as "partial 18S ribosomal RNA". The record is from RNAcentral. Lineage: Eukaryota; Fungi; Glomeromycota; Glomeromycetes; Glomerales; Glomeraceae.
CCGUAAGGCGCCGAAUGAGUCAUUAAAAAAUUAACAUCAUCCGAUCCCUAGUCGGCAUAGUUUAUGGUUAAGACUACGACGGUAUCUGAUCGUCUUCGAUCCCCCUAACUUUCGUUCUUGAUUAAUGAAAACAUCCUUGGCAAAUGCUUUCGCAGUAGUUAGUCUUCAAUAAAUCCAAGAAUUUCACCUCUGACAAUUGAAUACUAAUGCCCCCAAUAUCCCUAUUAAUCAUUACGUCGAUCCCUAGAAACCAACAAAAUAGAAUCAAACGUCCUAUUUCAUUAUUCCACGCUAAUGUAUUCAAGCGCGAGCCUGCUUUAAACACUCUAAUUUUUCAAAGUAACGGUCCUGAUUCCCCAUGACACCAAAUUAAUGACAUCAUGGUUCUUCAGAAGGGAGAAAUCAAAAUUGCCAGUACGUACCGAGGCACGACCAACAAAUUGAUCUCGAAAUUCAACUACGGANCUUUUUAACUGCAACAACUUUAAUAUACGCUAUUGGAGCUGGAAUUACCGCGGCU